RNAcentral lists this ribosomal RNA (253 nucleotides) under uncultured bacterium. RNAcentral describes it as "partial 16S ribosomal RNA". It matches the Rfam family "Bacterial small subunit ribosomal RNA", at positions 524 to 776 of the family's 1533-position model. The record is from RNAcentral.
CACGUAGGGUGCGAGCGUUGUCCGGAAUUACUGGGCGUAAAGGGCGCGUAGGCGGCCUUCUAAGUCAGACGUGAAAUCCCCCGGCUUAACCUGGGAACUGCGUCUGAUACUGGGAGGCUUGAGUAUGGGAGAGGGAUGUAGAAUUCCAGGUGUAGCGGUGAAAUGCGUAGAUAUCUGGAGGAAUACCGGUGGCGAAGGCGGCAUCCUGGACCAUAACUGACGCUGAGGCGCGAAAGCUAGGGGAGCAAACGGG